This 519-nucleotide ribosomal RNA is filed under the name uncultured bacterium. RNAcentral's name for it is "bacterial SSU rRNA". It matches the Rfam family "Bacterial small subunit ribosomal RNA", at positions 32 to 526 of the family's 1533-position model. The record is from RNAcentral.
AAUCAACGCUGGCGGCGUGCCUCAGACAUGCAAGUCGAACGCGAAAGCCCCCUUCGGGGGGCAAGUAGAGUGGCGCACGGGUGAGUAACACGUAGGUAAUCUACCUUUGGAUGGGGAAUAACCACCGGAAACGGUGGCUAAUACCGCAUAAUGCAGCGGCACCUAAUGGCGACAGUUGUUAAAGCGGGGGAUCGCAAGACCUCGCGUCUAAAGAGGAGCCUGCGGCGGAUUAGCUAGUUGGUAAGGUAACGGCUUACCAAGGCGAUGAUCCGUAGCCGGCCUGAGAGGGCGGUCGGCCACACUGACACUGACAUACGGGUCAGACUCCUACGGGAGGCAGCAGUCGGGAAUUUUGGGCAAUGGGCGAAAGCCUGACCCAGCAACGCCGCGUGAAGGAUGAAAUCCUUCGGGAUGUAAACUUCGCAAGAACGGGAAGAAUAAGCCGGUGUCAACACCACCGGCGAUGACGGUACUGUUUGUAAGCUCCGGCUAACUCCGUGCCAGCAGCCGCGGUAAUAC